Molecule: ribosomal RNA, 499 nt
Filed under: uncultured bacterium
Lineage: Bacteria
Description: partial 16S ribosomal RNA
Rfam family: Bacterial small subunit ribosomal RNA
Source: RNAcentral
GACGAACGCUGGCGGCGUGCUUAACACAUGCAAGUCGAACGAUGAACCCGGAGCUUGCUCCGGUGGAUUAGUGGCGAACGGGUGAGUAACACGUGAGUAACCUGCCCUUGACUCUGGGAUAACUGCGGGAAACUGUAGCUAAUACCGGAUACGACCUUCGGCGGCAUCGCCAGGGGGUGGAAAGAAUUUCGGUCAAGGAUGGACUCGCGGCCUAUCAGCUAGUUGGUGAGGUAACGGCUCACCAAGGCGACGACGGGUAGCCGGCCUGAGAGGGUGACCGGCCACACUGGGACUGAGACACGGCCCAGACUCCUACGGGAGGCAGCAGUAGGGAAUAUUGGACAAUGGCUGAAAAGCUGAUCCAGCCAUCCCGCGUGAAGGUAGAAGGUCCUAUGGAUUGUAAACUUCUUUUCUCUGGGAAGAAAAAGCUUGAUUCAUCAAGCCCUGACGGUACCAGAGGAAUAAGCACCGGCUAACUCCGUGCCAGCAGCCGCCGCAG